AGUGAACGCUGGCGGUAGGCCUAACACAUGCAAGUCGAACGGCAGCACAGUAAGAGCUUGCUCUGACGGGUUGCGGGUGGCGGACGGAUGAGGAAUACAUCGGAAUCUACUUUUUCGUGGGGGAUAACGUAGGGAAACUUACGCUAAUACCGCAUACUACCUACGGGUGAAAUCAUGGUAUCUUCUGACCAUUCGCGAUUGAAUGAGCCGAGGUCGGAUUGGAUAGUUGGCGGGGUAAGGGCCCACCAAGGCGACGAUCCGUAGCGGAUCUGAGAGGAGGAGCUGACCCACUGGAUCUGAGCCACGGUCCAGCCCACUACGGGAGGCAGCAGUGCGGAAUAUUGGACAAUGCGAGCAAGCCUGCCCCAGCCAUACCGCGUGGGUGAAGAAGGCCCUCGGGUCGUAAAGUCAUACUGUUGGGAAAGAAAAGCAGCAUGUUAAUACCACGCUGUUCUGACGGUACCUAAAGAAUAAGCAACGGCUAACUUCGUG
Molecule: ribosomal RNA, 492 nt
Filed under: uncultured bacterium
Lineage: Bacteria
Description: partial 16S ribosomal RNA
Rfam family: Bacterial small subunit ribosomal RNA
Source: RNAcentral